Branchiostoma floridae (Florida lancelet) is the source of this 192-nucleotide long non-coding RNA. RefSeq lists it as uncharacterized. The transcript is spliced from 3 exons. The record is from RefSeq and is a predicted model, not a curated record. Lineage: Eukaryota; Metazoa; Chordata; Leptocardii; Amphioxiformes; Branchiostomatidae.
CUGUAACUGUGAGAACGGCUGGACAGGACUCAAAUGUGAUCAAGACAUCGACGAGUGCGCGAGCAGCCCUUGUUGGCUGGGAGGGACCUGCCUGGAUCAUGUGGACGGCUACAGCUGUGUCUGUCCUAAAGAUGCCACAGGGAAGAACUGUGAAACUGUACCUUUUGCAGGGGAAUGCUACCAAUUUUCGAC